RNAcentral lists this ribosomal RNA (497 nucleotides) under uncultured bacterium. Its description in RNAcentral is "partial 16S ribosomal RNA". It matches the Rfam family "Bacterial small subunit ribosomal RNA", at positions 28 to 507 of the family's 1533-position model. The record is from RNAcentral.
GAUGAACGCUGGCGGCGUGCCUAAUACAUGCAAGUCGAGCGAACGGACGAGAAGCUUGCUUCUCUGAUGUUAGCGGCGGAGGGGUGAGUAACACGUGGAUAACCUACCUAUAAGACUGGGAUAACUUCGGGAAACCGGAGCUAAUACCGGAUAAUAUUUUGAACCGCAUGGUUCAAAAGUGAAAGACGGUCUUGCUGUCAUUUAUAGAUGGAUCCGCGCUGCAUUAGCUAGUUGGUAAGGUAACGGCUUACCAAGGCAACAAUGACUAGCCGACCUGAGAGGGUGAUCGCCCACACUGGAACUGAGACACAGUCCAGACUCCUACGGGACGCACCAGUGUCGCAUCUUCCACAAUGGUCAAAAGCCUUACGCACCAACGCCUCGUGAGUGAUGAAGGUCUUCUGAUCGUAAAACUCUGUUAUUAGGGAAUAACCUAUCUGUAAGUAACUGUUCACAUCUUAACGGUACCUAAUCAGAAAGCCACGGCUAACUACGUG